This 506-nucleotide ribosomal RNA is filed under the name uncultured bacterium. RNAcentral's name for it is "partial 16S ribosomal RNA". It matches the Rfam family "Bacterial small subunit ribosomal RNA", at positions 29 to 523 of the family's 1533-position model. The record is from RNAcentral.
AUUGAACGCUGGCGGCAGGCCUAACACAUGCAAGUCGAGCGGCAGCGGGAAAGUAGCUUGCUACUUUUGCCGGCGAGCGGCGGACGGGUGAGUAAUGCCUGGGAAAUUGCCCAGUCGAGGGGGAUAACAGUUGGAAACGACUGCUAUCCCGCAUACGCCCCACGGGGAAACCAGGGGACCUUCGGGCCUUUUCCCCUCGGAUCUGCCCGGGCGGGAUUAGGGGGUUGGUGGGGUAAUGGCGCACCAAGGCGACGAUCCCUAGCUGGUCUGAGAGGAUGAUCAGCCACACUGGAACUGAGACACGGUCCAGACUCCUACGGGAGGCAGCAGUGGGGAAUAUUGCACAAUGGGGGCAACCCUGAUGCAGCCAUGCCGCGUGUGUGAAGAAGGCCUUCGGGUUGUAAAGCACUUUCAGCGAGGAGGAAAAGUGGAUGCCUAAUACGUAUCAACUGUGACGUUACUCGCAGAAGAAGCACCGGCUAACUCCGUGCCAGCCGCCGCGGUAA